Molecule: ribosomal RNA, 253 nt
Filed under: uncultured bacterium
Lineage: Bacteria
Description: partial 16S ribosomal RNA
Rfam family: Bacterial small subunit ribosomal RNA
Source: RNAcentral
UACGUAGGGUGCAAGCGUUAAUCGGAAUUACUGGGCGUAAAGCGUGCGCAGGCGGUGAUGUAAGACAGAUGUGAAAUCCCCGGGCUUAACCUGGGAACUGCGUUUGAAACUACAGGACUAGAGUGUGGCAGAGGGAGGUGGAAUUCCAUGUGUAGCAGUGAAAUGCGUAGAGAUAUGGAAGAACAUCGAUGGCGAAGGCAACCUCCUGGGUUAACACUGACGCUCAUGCACGAAAGCGUGGGGAGCAAACAGG